GGACCAUCAUCUGGAUUCCUAGACGUGCAACUGCAAGCUUAGAAGAAAUAAAGGAAAUAUCCCAGGAGCAAAAACAAAACACACACAUGCUCCUCUCAAGAGUCACUGGCAUCCCAGCUGAAAAGUCAGCUCUACACCUAUGGGACCUAUGGGCCUGUUUCUGAGCUCUGUUUUGUCUCUUUGGUCUGAGUGUCUAUCUGAGGCCAAUACCACAGUACCAAAUGCGAUUGCUUUAGAGGAAGUCUUGAAAUCAGAUGAGAGAAAUGAAAAUAAAGUCAGCCUCCAUAAAAUUAUGAAGAAGAAAGGCAGUAUCAUAAUGAUUAUGCAGGAACCAAGGACUGGCCUGGAAGAUGGGCCCCCAAGCUCACAGGGACACCAGCAGGCACUGCUUCUAGACAUGGAGCCUCAGUUCCAGAAUGUCCCGUGACAUGACCAGGAGUAGGGAACCAGCCCUCCCGACCUCCAUGUCUUAUUUGCCAGGCAGGGGUAACUGCAGGCUGGCCCUGACCAGGAUGACCACUGGCUCCCACUGUGGAUGCAUUUCGUGCGUGGCCUGCAUUGGACAUCGGCUCACCCAUGUGCUGGGGUGUCCAGGGUCCAGGGGAAGCUCCAGGACACAUUUGAGGAUCAGGAGAGCAACCUGCAUAGUGCAGGACUCUUGUCAGGGAGACCACGACCCGGGAGCCUUUCCUAGAAGACACAGAGUCCCCAAAAAUACCUGUGACAAGGGUCUCAUCACAGCACUGUCUGAGAGUGCUUGGAGAGAGGGAACCUGCCUGCAGCUGUUCCCAGAGCAGUGGGGCGGGGGACACUCCCCUACUGAAGAAGGCAUUUCCUUUUGGCGCCUCCAGUUCCCCCUGCCAGGACGUCAGCACCCAGGCUCUGAUGUGGGCUGCUGGGGGCCACGGCACUGCAAUGCUGCCCUGGAUUGAAUGGGGCGGGGGCUAUAGAUGUAUAAUACAAGUUGGAUUUUAGAGACUUGGUAUGUGGCAUAGAGUCUCAAAUGUCCAAAGAUGUGUCGCAUUGAUUUCAGGGUGAGUGGAUAGUUGUUCUGAUAUACUGAGUUCAGUAAAAUACAUCGGCAGCAGGAAUUUUA
This 1096-nucleotide long non-coding RNA is filed under the name Homo sapiens (human). RNAcentral's name for it is "HSALNT0309925". Lineage: Eukaryota; Metazoa; Chordata; Mammalia; Primates; Hominidae. The record is from RNAcentral.